RNAcentral lists this long non-coding RNA (1623 nucleotides) under Marmota monax (woodchuck). Lineage: Eukaryota; Metazoa; Chordata; Mammalia; Rodentia; Sciuridae. The record is from RNAcentral.
CUCAGGGUAGAGGCCGACGGUUCAGGGGGGCAACUGGGCAGGCCCUGGCCAGCCCCGGGGUCCCAGGCCCUCGGCUGAGCAGCACCUGGCUCUGAUUCGCAGGGUCUCACCUGCUCUGGCUCCGCCCAUUUUCCCACACCUUCCAGCCACUCCUCCAGCCCCACAAGCACCUGCCCUUCAGUUCUGAGGAGACCAGGGGCCACCGACCCCAGGACCUGUUACUUGGGUGGCCUCACAUGAACACCUCUCUGCGGCUCUGGAGUGCGGGUGCUACAGGGGAUGACUGGGGACGGGCCCGACUCCCAAGGUGGCUGAGGCCAGCCUCUGCAGAUCUCCUCUCUUGUGGCCUCCUUCCUCCCCAGAGCUAGUCAUCCCUUCCGAGUGGCCUGCUCACUUCCUCCAGGCUGAAGUGCUGCAAAUAGCCCACCCUGCUCAAUUACCCAGGGAGGGGCUCGAGGGGACAGAGAAGAACUCUGUCCCAGGACACAGCGGCCCUGUCACAUCCAGCACUCCCGGCUGCCCUCCAGAGUGGCUCCCCACUCAGUCGUGGGCCUCCCUGGCCCUGCUCGUAAUGCAGAACCUCAGUUUCUCCACCUUUAAAACGGGAACGAUGCCAGCCACACGUGGUGUGGCCACAUGCCGGUAAAGAGUCUGCCCCGUGCUCGACACACAAGUGGCCUCCCCACCCUGGUGUUCGAGGCCCUGCACAUUCUGGUUGUUUGGGUGGCUGGAAGUUCAACCCUUCCUUACCCUCCCCUCUCCGGGAAGCCACCGAAGCCACAGCGAUCCUGCUCCCUUCUUCCCUGUCACCUGGAUGCUGUGACGUCCGUGGGGUGGCCGGGAGGUUGAGCCUUGUGAGAAUGACUAAGAACCAGGAGAGAGAGAGCCGUGGGUGGCUGGUGGAUCAUCAGCGUCAAAACUUCCGUUGCCAUCUGCAAACACGGGCCACUCCCAGAGCAGGAGGCCAGGAGGCCGGCCCAGCCUGGCUACCAUGGUGCUGGCCAGGGCCACCCACGCCACAGUGGAAGGGCAGGGACAGUGCUGAGAGGCGAGGGGGUGGUGGGGGCUGGGCUGUGGUUUUCUCAGAGCUCUGGGCUUCCCUGGCCUGGGGACUCCCCUGACCCCACCUCUCAGGGAUUUUCUUUCCAGCAGUGACUGAUUCACUUAUUGCCAGAUGCCAGCAUCCAGGGCCUGGACGGGGGAGAGCAGAAGUGAUGUCGGAACACAGUGGAUGAUCCUCCCAGGGGUUGACAGCAGGGUGGGGGGACCCACCUGGGAAGUAGCUGGGGGCUUAAGAGCAGGCAGGACCCCACCUGGCCCCACCCAGCUGACAAAUGCUCCCAGGCAGAGCCAGCCACUCCCCUCUCUUGACAGCCGUCACUCAGGCAUCUCCGUAUGUGCCUCGCAGGAGAGCCAGCCAGGGUAUGGAUUCCAGAUCCCAGAGAAAAGCUGUAACUCAGCAUGGAAAGUCGUUCUCAUGCAAACAUGCGGCCAAGGAUGGUGUAAAUUGGGUACAGCCCUUCCCAGGGCAAUCUGGCAACAUAGAAAAUGAAAACAAAAACGCUCCGACUCUGUUCAGAAAGAUUUUGUGAAAUUGACAGACCUUUGGCUCCCUCCCCUCCC